CAGCCGCCGCGGGAAUACGAAGGGGGCUAGCGUUGCUCGGAAUGACUGGGCGUAAAGGGCGCGUAGGCGGAUUGUUUAGUUAGGCGUGAAAUUCCUGGGCUUAACCUGGGGACUGCGCUUAAUACAGGCAGUCUAGAGUGAGGAAGAGGGUUGUGGAAUUCCCAGUGUAGAGGUGAAAUUCGUAGAUAUUGGGAAGAACACCGGUGGCGAAGGCGGCAACCUGGUCCUUGACUGACGCUGAGGCGCGAAAGCGUGGGGAGCAAACAGGAUUAGAUACCCCGGUAGUCCCUGUCUCUUAUAA
RNAcentral lists this ribosomal RNA (301 nucleotides) under uncultured bacterium. RNAcentral describes it as "partial 16S ribosomal RNA". It matches the Rfam family "Bacterial small subunit ribosomal RNA", at positions 509 to 809 of the family's 1533-position model. The record is from RNAcentral.